CAGCUCUAUAGUAUUCUUAUAUUUCCUUACGCCUGACAGCAGAGAUUUAUAAUGCAAAUCCCUUCUUCCUUUUGUAGGAUUGUCAGUGGGGCUGAUUGUAUUUCCUAUAGUAGACAUGUGUGUGCAUCCAGCUCUGGUGCUGAGCAGUGAGCAGGCUGGCAGCAGACACUUGGGCAUCAGAGGCAGCAUGGCAUUCUCCUCCAUCCUGUGAUGCUCCUGUGGCCAGGGCAUGCUUCUCAACUUCCCCCUGACUCCAUCCCUCCCCCCUACAGAGUAGGAUGUCUACACAGUGUCCCAGGCAGCUGAUCUGAGCCAAGUGUGGAGAGUCCUGGCAUUGAGCUCUAUCUGCUGGAUGUUUACUUCUUGUCAUCCAUUCCUCUCCACUGCUCCAUCUCCCUGUCUGUCCUCUCCCACCUCCUAUCCUCCAGCCUUAAUGUGGACAUCAUUGCUAAUUGUAAGCCCCCCAACCCUGUAAGAUCUGCUCCCCCUCCCAGUCUCCUCACCUCCUCUUUUUUCUCCUUCCAUCCUGCUAACGUCUGACUUUUGGUGGGGAGAAGAAAAGUGUGUGGGGGGGCUGCUCUUGUCACAUCCCUCAUCCACCAUCCCCAUCAUCCUGUGAGCCUUCAUCAUCACCACCAUCAUCACCACACAAGUGAAGAAGAGGAGGGGAGGAGAAGGAGGCACAUCAGGGUUAUUGGUAGAGGAGGAGGAGGAGGAAGGAGAGAGAGCCUUACACCUGAUCACAUCCCAGGAAGAGACAGAGCACUGAGGUAAAGGACAAGUUCUUCCCCAGCUCCUGGGUACAGAAGGAUUGUGUGACUGGACACCUAGGGAAGAAGAAGUCCUCUGCUGUGGGAUUGCUGCCGGGAGAAGAAAAUGCUGCCAUCCAGGUCUGCUGCUGCUGCUGCUGCACUGCCCUCCUCUAGCACUGGAUGUUCUUGGGCUCUGGGAUCUGGAUUUGGCUCCUAUUUAACCCUUUGGAUAUGGCUUAUUACCUGCUGCUGCUGCUACUUCUCGGAGACCUUGGCCAGCCCAAGUAAUGAAGUGAAUUUACUGGAUUCACGGUCGGUCAUGGGUGACCUUGGAUGGAUAGCAUACCCAAAAAACGGGUGGGAAGAAAUUGGGGAGGUUGAUGAAAACUAUGCUCCGAUACAUACAUAUCAAGUAUGCAAAGUGAUGGAACAGAAUCAGAACAACUGGCUCUUGACAAGUUGGAUUUCAAAUGAAGGAGCGUCAAGAAUCUUCAUUGAGCUUAAAUUUACCCUACGGGACUGCAACAGUCUUCCAGGAGGGCUUGGUACCUGUAAAGAAACUUUUAAUGUCUAUUAUUUUGAAUCAAAUGAAGAAGAUGGAAGGAAUAUAAGGGAAAAUCAGUAUAUUAAGAUUGACACUAUUGCUGCUGAUGAGAGCUUCACAGAGUUGGAUUUGGGGGAUAGAGUCAUGAAGCUAAACACAGAGGUGAGAGAUGUUGGACCAUUGAUCAAGAAAGGUUUCUACCUUGCUUUUCAAGAUGUUGGAGCAUGUAUUGCCCUAGUAUCUGUUCGUGUGUACUACAAGAAAUGCCCCUCAGUGGUACGUAACUUAGCACUUUUCCAAGAUACUAUUACUGGAGCAGAUUCAUCGCAGCUUUUGGAAGUAUCUGGAGUGUGUGUCAACUAUUCAGUGACAGAAGAAGCCCCAAAAAUGCACUGCAGUGCUGAAGGGGAAUGGCUUGUUCCAAUUGGAAAAUGUAUGUGUAAAGAGGGCUAUGAAGAAAAGAAUAAUACCUGUCAAGCAUGUCGUCCGGGAUUUUUCAAGUCUUCUCCUCAGAGUCAGACAUGCAGUAAGUGCCCACCCCACAGCUAUGCCCAUGAGGAAGCGUCAACAUCUUGUGUCUGUGAAGAGCGCUAUUAUAGGAGAGAGUCUGAUCCACAUCAGAUGGCAUGUACAAGACCGCCAUCAGCUCCACGCAAUGCCAUUUCCAACAUCAAUGAAACUAGUGUCUUCUUAGAAUGGAUGUUUCCAGCAGACACUGGAGGAAGGAAAGAUGUAUACUAUAAUAUUGUAUGCAAGAAAUGUAAUUCCAUUGCCAGAGUGUGCGAGGAGUGUGGAAUUCAUGUUCGCUACAUACCUCAGCAAAGCGGCCUCAGAAACACAUCUGUGAUGGUAAUAGAUCUCCAGGCUCAUACAAAUUACACCUUUGAGAUUGUGGCUGAAAAUGGUGUGUCUGACUUGAGUCCUGGAUCAAGGCAGUAUGUCGAAGUGAAUGUCACAACUAACCAGGCUGCCCCGUCUCCAGUCACUCAUGUGAAGAAAGGAAAAAUUUCCAGAAAUAGCAUUUCCUUGUCUUGGCAGGAACCAGAGCGGCCCAACGGUAUCAUCCUGGAAUAUGAGAUCAAAUACUUUGAAAAGGACCAGGAAACUAGUUACACAAUCAUCAAGUCCAAAGAAACAGAAAUCACAGCAGAGGGACUGAAGCCAGCAUCAUCCUACAUAUUCCAGAUCCGAGCACGCACGGCCGCAGGGUACGGGGCCUUCAGUCGUAGAUUUGAGUUUGAAACCAGCCCAGUGUCAUUUGCAGCAACUGGGGAUCAGAGUCAGAUUCCUAUUAUAGCUGUGUCGGUCACCGUGGGAAUUAUUCUUCUGGCUGGAAUAGUUGGUUUUCUUCUCAGUGGAAGACGAUGUGGCUACAGCAAAGCUAAACAAGAUCCAGAAGAGGAAAAGAUGCAUUUUCACAAUGGACACAUCUUCUGUUCCACUACAGUUAAGCUUCCAGGAAUAAAGACAUACAUUGACCCUCAUACCUAUGAGGACCCAAGCCAGGCAGUGCAUGAAUUUGCCAAAGAAAUCGAUGCUUCCAGUAUAACUAUUGAACGAGUUAUUGGAGCAGGUGAAUUUGGAGAAGUUUGCAGCGGCCGCAUUAAACUUCCAGGCAAAAGGGAGUUUCCUGUCGCUAUUAAGACUCUCAAAGUUGGAUACACUGACAAACAGAGGCGGGACUUCUUGGGUGAAGCCAGUAUAAUGGGACAGUUUGACCAUCCAAACAUCAUCCACUUGGAGGGAGUUGUCACAAAAAGCAAACCUGUAAUGAUUGUAACAGAAUACAUGGAAAAUGGCUCUUUGGAUACAUUCCUGAAGAAAAACGAUGGCCAGUUCACUGUCAUUCAGCUAGUGGGUAUGCUGAGGGGCAUUGCAUCUGGAAUGAAGUACCUUUCAGACAUGGGCUACGUACACAGAGACCUUGCAGCAAGGAAUAUACUCAUAAAUAGCAAUCUGGUCUGCAAAGUUUCCGACUUUGGUUUAUCCCGUGUUCUUGAAGAUGAUCCUGAAGCUGCAUAUACUACUAGAGGAGGAAAAAUACCAAUUCGAUGGACUGCCCCUGAAGCCAUUGCUUUCCGUAAGUUCACUUCUGCAAGUGAUGUGUGGAGCUAUGGAAUCGUGAUGUGGGAAGUCAUGUCAUACGGAGAGAGACCUUACUGGGAAAUGACAAACCAAGAUGUAAUUAAAGCUGUUGAGGAAGGUUACCGGUUGCCAAGUCCCAUGGAUUGCCCGGCUGCUCUUUAUCAGCUCAUGCUGGAUUGCUGGCAGAAAGACCGCAACAGCAGGCCCAAGUUUGAAGAGAUUGUCAGUAUGUUGGACAAGUUGAUCCGUAACCCAAGCAGCUUGAAGACACUUGUUAAUUCAUCUAACAGGGUAUCAAAUUUACUGAUUGAACAAAAUACAGUUGGAAGUGCAACAUACAGAUCAGUAAAUGAGUGGCUAGAGGCAAUAAAGAUGGGAAGGUAUGCUGAUACGUUUUUGGAGAAUGGAUACACUUCAAUGGAAGCAGUAACCCAAAUGACUUUGGACACCUAAAAUAUUCCCUGUCAUUUCUUCCCAAAUCACAUCAUAGGUUUUCUAUCAACCUCAUUGCUUUUUAUUUUUGCUCAUAGAUUAGUUUUAUUGCUUAGCUAAUCAAAUAUUAUGUAAUAAAAACUUUGUAAUGUUUGUACAAUGCAAUGCAGAUUUAUAUAAUUAUUAGAUUGACAAUUUUAAUUUUGAAUAUCACAAGAAAUAUUCCGAACAUCUCUUGACUUUGUUGGUAUUUUUCAUCAAACACAUUUAUGGCAUAUUGCUUGAACAUGUUGGAUAGGGUUUAACUGAUGGAUGCCCAUGAUCCUGUGAAUGGUACUUUUAGGAACUACUGUUUAUAUUUAAGGCAUAGCCAAUAAACUCCCUUAUGCUAUGUUUCACCUAUAUUUCAAUUUUCAAUCUGAACUUUUAUUCCAACCUUAAGAACCAUAUUUUUUUUAAUUUUUCUGUCAACAUACAAAGCCGCUACAUCCAUCUAUUAUGACCUGUUUCCAUGUGUCUGUUGAAUUGAUGCAUCCCCACAGCAUGAUGUUGCUACCACCUUCUUCUACUGGGGAAUGGUGUGCGCAGGGUGAUGACCAGCGCACCUUUUUCCACAUGUUUUCUGUGUCAUGGCUUGUGGAAAACUCCACACGGGAUUUCAUUUGGCUUCUUUUCAACAAUGGCUCUCUUAUUGACACUCUUCCAUAAAGCCUAGAUUUCUGGAGUACAUGACUAAUAGUUGUCAUGUGGACAGAUUCUUCCACCUUAGUUGUGGAUCUAUGCAGCUCCUCCAGAGUUAACAUGGGCCUCUUGGCUGCUUCUCUAAAUCAUUUUUCCUGCUUUGCUUGUUAGUGUGGGUGGACGGCCUGGUCUUGGUAGGUUUUCAGUUUCUUUCCAUUUCCUGAUGAUGGAUUUUAUGGAGCUCUGGAAGAUGUUUAGAGCUUCUGAUAUAUAUUUUUAUUACAUAAUCCUGCUUUGUACUUCUCCCCAACUUUAUCCCUCGCCUGUAUGGUUAGCUCCUUGUACUUCUUGCUGCUGUUUGUUCAGUAAUGGUCUUUAACGAAUGCUGAGGCCAUCACAAAAUAGGUGUACUUGUACUGAGCUUAAUUCCUGGAGGAUACUGGACUUACCUGUAUACCCUGGCUACCUGGUACUUGGCACACCAGGACGUACAUGUACUAGUGUGUACUGUUAUGCAACUAGUGCAGGAGCUGCCGUCUCUUCAUAGACCACUGAUAGCAGUUGGGGACUUGCCGCUAAUGGCGGACAUUAGUGAUUAUGUUGAUGCCUGAUAUUAACUUUUGAGAUGUCAUGAUCAAUACUGAUUACAGUUCUGAAGUAUAAUUUGGUUUUUGAGAGACUCAUGGGACCACCCGUGGUGCAAUUACAGGGGUCUGAUGAGCCAAGAUGGCAGCCAGAGCUCCUCUCUCCUGAAGUAGAUAAUCAAUUACACUGAUCAGUGCUAUGCAUAUGUAUAGCACUGAAAAGUAUCAGCAAUAAAAUAUUGCUACAAAUAGUGGGGCCUUUAAAAUGUUAAAAAAAGGGGAAAACUAGAUAAUUUUAAUAAAAAUUAAUAAGUCUCUUCCCUCAUAAAAUAAUUUAAAAUAAUAAUCGCCCUGUUGCCUCGUUUUACAAAUAAAAAAGUAAAAAAACAUUAAAGACAAACAAAAAUAUUAGGCAUCACCAUGUACGUGAAUGUCUAAACUAUUAAAAUAUAAUGUUAAUGAUCCCAUGCAUUGAAAAGCGUAAAUGUAAAGAAAAAAUACUAAAGACGCUGUGAUCAAUGCGGGUCACGGCUUCUAAAGUGGACCUAAAAAUCGUGCAGGCCAGAAGAAGCGCCCCUGUGCAUGAAACUAGUUGCCGCCCCCUUCAUGCCCCCUGCCUGUUCCAUCACAAGCUCCCUGUGUACCUGUGUGUUUGUCAUGCUGCAAACCAACUGAAGCCUGAAUACUGCUGAUGAUUUUCUGAGAUCUGAGGAGAUUCGGAGUGACUCUAGCUGGUCAUCAGAAGAAGAUAAUGAAUAGCAUCCAAGAAAUGAGAGCCCAGUUAUUAAACGGAAUGGUGCCAUUGUAAUUGUGCCAUUCUACAACCAAGCAAGUCUGCACUUUGUAACCUGCCCAGUGAUUUAUAGACAUAGAGAAACCUGAAAUGAAAAAGGGAAGUAUACUGCUAUGGAAAACUGAAAACGACACAAUGAACAUAUAGCAGAUAACUCAAAAAUCAGUAUUUGACUCAAACUUCCAUUUAUUUUUUAUUCUGUUUUUGUCUUUGUUCGUCAUAUGUAAUUGCAACUUGCAUGGGACCUGGAGCUGGAUGUAGAGGUGUAAAGUAAGGUUAGCCUGUUCUUUGGCUUCUGUAACGAAGGACUUCCCAUGAUGCUUUGUACAGGAAUUGUAUAUAUAUAUAGCAUCUUGAUAGUGCUUUUAUUGUAGCAGCACGCUAAAUACUUCCAAGGACUUACUUGAAUGGAUCAUUUAAGAUGUUUUUGUAGCCCUGUAUGGCCUAGAACAAAAAGCUGCAGUUUACUGACGUUUACUAAGUCUCCAUUGUCUACAAAGUUGUAUUGAAGAGCAAUAUGUCUAGAGUUUCUUGAUAGAUAUCUUUUUGUUUGUUUGUUUUGUUUUUGUAAAUUGAAAAAAUGCUGUUACACAGCAUUAAGGUAUGGAAGCAUAUGUACAAACAAAUUGCUUGAUCAAUUGCAAAUACAAUAUAUUUAUUUUUUCUGUU
Hyla sarda is the source of this 6540-nucleotide RNA transcript. It is a transcript of the gene named EPH receptor A5, with no coding region annotated. The transcript has 18 exons. The record is from RefSeq and is a predicted model, not a curated record. Lineage: Eukaryota; Metazoa; Chordata; Amphibia; Anura; Hylidae.